AUCUUAGCCAAAAGGCCG
Molecule: small nuclear RNA, 18 nt
Filed under: Arabidopsis thaliana (thale cress)
Lineage: Eukaryota; Viridiplantae; Streptophyta; Magnoliopsida; Brassicales; Brassicaceae
Description: snRNA_09669
Source: RNAcentral